RNAcentral lists this ribosomal RNA (321 nucleotides) under Triticum aestivum (bread wheat). RNAcentral describes it as "partial small subunit ribosomal RNA". The record is from RNAcentral. Lineage: Eukaryota; Viridiplantae; Streptophyta; Magnoliopsida; Poales; Poaceae.
AUGGCGCCGGACACCAAGGAGCGGUGGAAGAAGGAGGUCGGCUGGUUGCUGUCCGUCACGGACCACAUCGUCGAGUUUGUCCCGACAAGACAGACCGCCGAGAACGGUACUACCAUGGAGAUCAUGUCGACAGCGCAGCGUCGCGACCUGCAGAUAAACAUCCCCGCUCUGCGCAAGCUGGACGCCAUGCUCAUUGUAAGCGCUAUUACCUUAUUAGAUUUAGCUAGGCAUCUUCAACGGCAACCUGCAAAAAACCUCCCUCAUUCAUCUAUAGACAGGGAAGGGGAGCCUUGGCGCAGUGGUAAAGCUGCUGCCUUGUGA